GCGGGGGUGGCGGAACUGGUAGACGCGCAAGACUAAGGAUCUUGUGGGCAUAGCCUGUGGGAGUUCGAGUCUCCCCCUCCGCA
Dethiosulfovibrio salsuginis is the source of this 83-nucleotide non-coding RNA. NCBI's taxonomy places the organism in Bacteria, Thermotogati, Synergistota, Synergistia, Synergistales, Dethiosulfovibrionaceae. The record is from Rfam.